CCAAUAGCGUAUAUUAAAGUUGUUGCAGUUAAAAAGCUCGUAGUUGAAUUUCGGGAUCAACAUGUCGGUCGUGCCUCCGGUACGCACUGGCAUCGUUGAUUUCUACCUUCUGACGAACCGUGAUGUCAUUAAUUUGGUGUCAUGGGGAAUCAGGACUGUUACUUUGAAAAAAUUAGAGUGUUUAAAGCAGGCACACGCUUGAAUACAUUAGCAUGGAAUAAUGAAAUAGGACGUUUGACCCUAUUUUGUUGGUUUCUAGGAUCGACGUAAUGAUUAAUAGGGAUAGUUGGGGGCAUUAGUAUUCAAUUGUCAGAGGUGAAAUUCUUGGAUUUAUUGAAGACUAACUACUGCGAAAGCAUUUGCCAAGGAUGUUUUCAUUAAUCAAGAACGAAAGUUAGGGGAUCGAAGACGAUCAGAUACCGUCGUAGUCUUAACCAUAAACUAUGCCGACUAGGGAUCGGAUGAUGUUAAUUUUUUAAUGACUCAUUCGGCGCCUUACG
Molecule: ribosomal RNA, 500 nt
Filed under: uncultured Glomeromycotina
Lineage: Eukaryota; Fungi; Glomeromycota
Description: partial small subunit ribosomal RNA
Rfam family: Eukaryotic small subunit ribosomal RNA
Source: RNAcentral